CAUGCAUAUUCCGAGAUGCCUGUUUUGGGCAUAAAACAUAAUUUCCAGACCUGGCCAACUGCAAACCCCACCCCCCACUAUUUUACUUUACUUUACUUUACUAUGUGACUGUCGGUGUAUGUAUUGGAAAGCAUAGCUGUUUUUUUCUGCUAACGGUGUUAUUCUUAUCUAUUUCCCACCAAACCAUAUAGGACCACAUCAGUCCUGGAGAGUUUCCAGAACCACGUCCUGAUGUACGCAGCAAAGCGCAUGGGAUACACACCCUUUGUGUACAAGACACGAACCCUUCUAGCGGCUAUUGAUUAUAACAAACACAACCAACGUCAGGCAGCACGCAAUAGGGAAGGGCACAAGAUGUACAAACGGUCGUACAACAAGAAGUCAAAGAACUGGACAGUCAGCACAAUUAAGGAAAUAAAAGAGUACAGCUAUAUAUGGGAGAUACAGACAGCCAUCCUGUCCUGUAGGAUAGCAAGUGGGACUGGCCUGCCACGAACAGUGACAAUGAGGGCUAGUGACCCAAGACGGCUCGGCCUGCUUGCCCCUGUUCAGCCACCGCCCACAUCCGAGCUUGUGAGGGUGCAACUAGCACGAGGAAACAUGUUUCCAGAAAACCCACAAGCCACCCAAUAGCCACGCCACUUAUGCCUUGCUCUUUCAAUAACAAAAUAAAUCUUUUUCUAGUGUCUUUCAUUGAAC
Molecule: long non-coding RNA, 699 nt
Organism: Gadus morhua (Atlantic cod)
Lineage: Eukaryota; Metazoa; Chordata; Actinopteri; Gadiformes; Gadidae
Source: Ensembl